This 253-nucleotide ribosomal RNA is filed under the name uncultured bacterium. RNAcentral's name for it is "partial 16S ribosomal RNA". It matches the Rfam family "Bacterial small subunit ribosomal RNA", at positions 524 to 776 of the family's 1533-position model. The record is from RNAcentral.
UACGAAGGGUGCAAGCGUUGCUCGGAAUUAUUGGGCGUAAAGGGUUGGUAGGCGGUUAUGUAUGUCUGGGGUGAAAUCUCUGAGCUUAACUCAGGAAGUGCCUUGGAAACGGCGUAACUAGAGUGCUAGAGAGGUUCGUGGAAUUCCCAGUGUAGCGGUGAAAUGCGUAGAGAUUGGGAGGAACACCAGAGGCGAAGGCAGCGAACUGGAUAGCAACUGACGCUGAACAACGAAAGCGUGGGUAGCAAACAGG